This 206-nucleotide long non-coding RNA is filed under the name Elaeis guineensis (African oil palm). Its description in RNAcentral is "long non-coding RNA (EGUI_LNC006581)". The record is from RNAcentral. Lineage: Eukaryota; Viridiplantae; Streptophyta; Magnoliopsida; Arecales; Arecaceae.
GUGGCGGAUAUUCUGACCAAAGGUCAUCUUUUUCUAGAUUGAUUGACAAGAUGGGGCUUCAAGAUAUCUUCGGCUCAUCUUGAGGGGGAGUGUUGGAAGGAUUGAACAUAAUUAAAAAAAUUUGUCUAAAUAAGGAUCCAGGGAUAUUAUGCCUUAGCAUAUUCUUGAUAUUCUUUGGUAUUCCUUGGCAUAUUCUAGUUAUUCCC